AACUGUGACUCGCCACUCCAUUCCCAUUAAUUGUGCUUAUAGGUGCAACAUUAGAUCUCAUUGUUAAAUGAGCAAUCAAGAAUGACAAUUCUAAGCCUCAUAUUUACUUUCUUCAGGUCCUUCAAAGAGAAUUUUGAAUGAAAGGCACCGAUUGAAUAUUGAUAGGUGAGGUAUUCUCAGGGCCACUACCAAUUGUUGUUGUCCCACCAAGGCAUUGCCCUGAAAACAAUAAUGUGCUUUGG
This 242-nucleotide unclassified non-coding RNA is filed under the name Hevea brasiliensis (rubber tree). The record is from RNAcentral. Lineage: Eukaryota; Viridiplantae; Streptophyta; Magnoliopsida; Malpighiales; Euphorbiaceae.